RNAcentral lists this ribosomal RNA (256 nucleotides) under uncultured bacterium. Its description in RNAcentral is "partial 16S ribosomal RNA". It matches the Rfam family "Bacterial small subunit ribosomal RNA", at positions 524 to 776 of the family's 1533-position model. The record is from RNAcentral.
GACAUAGGUGGCAAACGUUAUCCGGAAUUAUUGGGCGUAAAGGGUGCGUAGAUGGUUUGAUAAGUUAGCAGUGGGAAAUCGGGGCUCAACCUCGUGGAAGUUGGUAAUACUGUCAAACUAGAGCACAGGAGAGGUUAGUGGAAUUCCAUGUGGAGGGGUAAAAUCUGAUGAUAUAUGGAGGAACAUCAAUAACGGCGAAGGCAACUAACUAUUCUGCUGCUGACAUUGAGGCACGAAAGCGUGGGUAGCGAAACGG